AGAGUUUGAUCAUGGCUCAGGACGAACGCUGGCGGCGUGCCUAAUACAUGCAAGUCGUACGCUUCUUUUUCCACCGGAGCUUGCUCCACCGGAAAAAGAAGAGUGGCGAACGGGUGAGUAACACGUGGGUAACCUACCCAUCAGAAGGGGAUAACACUUGGAAACAGGUGCUAAUACCGUAUAACAAUCGAAACCGCAUGGUUUUGAUUUGAAAGGCGCUUUCGGGUGUCGCUGAUGGAUGGACCCGCGGUGCAUUAGCUAGUUGGUGAGGUAACGGCUCACCAAGGCCACGAUGCAUAGCCGACCUGAGAGGGUGAUCGGCCACAUUGGGACUGAGACACGGCCCAAACUCCUACGGGAGGCAGCAGUAGGGAAUCUUCGGCAAUGGACGAAAGUCUGACCGAGCAACGCCGCGUGAGUGAAGAAGGUUUUCGGAUCGUAAAACUCUGUUGUUAGAGAAGAACAAGGAUGAGAGUAACUGUUCAUCCCUUGACGGUAUCUAACCAGAAAGCCACGGCUAACUACGUGCCAGCAGCCGCGGUAAUACGUAGGUGGCAAGCGUUGUCCGGAUUUAUUGGGCGUAAAGCGAGCGCAGGCGGUUUCUUAAGUCUGAUGUGAAAGCCCCCGGCUCAACCGGGGAGGGUCAUUGGAAACUGGGAGACUUGAGUGCAGAAGAGGAGAGUGGAAUUCCAUGUGUAGCGGUGAAAUGCGUAGAUAUAUGGAGGAACACCAGUGGCGAAGGCGGC
Molecule: ribosomal RNA, 746 nt
Filed under: uncultured Enterococcus sp.
Lineage: Bacteria; Bacillati; Bacillota; Bacilli; Lactobacillales; Enterococcaceae
Description: bacterial SSU rRNA
Rfam family: Bacterial small subunit ribosomal RNA
Source: RNAcentral